GGGUUGUGAGGUUAAGCGACUAAGCGUACACGGUGGAUGCCCUGGCAGUCAGAGGCGAUGAAGGGCGUGCUAAUCUGCGAUAAGCGCCGGUAAGGUGAUAUGAACCGUUAUAACCGGCGAUACCCGAAUGGGGAAACCCAGUGUGAUUCGUCACACUAUCAUUAACUGAAUCCAUAGGUUAAUGAGGCGAACCGGGGGAACUGAAACAUCUAAGUACCCCGAGGAAAAGAAAUCAACCGAGAUUCCCCCAGUAGCGGCGAGCGAACGGGGAGGAGCCCAGAGCCUGAAUCAGCAUGUGUGUUAGUGGAAGCGUCUGGAAAGGCGCGCGAUACAGGGUGACAGCCCCGUACACAAAAGCGCAUGUGCUGUGAGCUCGAUGAGUAGGGCGGGACACGUGGUAUCCUGUCUGAAUAUGGGGGGACCAUCCUCCAAGGCUAAAUACUCCUGACUGACCGAUAGUGAACCAGUACCGUGAGGGAAAGGCGAAAAGAACCCCGGCGAGGGGAGUGAAAAAGAACCUGAAACCGUGUACGUACAAGCAGUGGGAGCACAGGUUUACCUGUGUGACUGCGUACCUUUUGUAUAAUGGGUCAGCGACUUAUAUUCUGUAGCAAGGUUAACCGUAUAGGGGAGCCGUAGGGAAACCGAGUCUUAACCGGGCGUUAAGUUGCAGGGUAUAGACCCGAAACCCGGUGAUCUAGCCAUGGGCAGGUUGAAGGUUGGGUAACACUAACUGGAGGACCGAACCGACUAAUGUUGAAAAAUUAGCGGAUGACCUGUGGCUGGGGGUGAAAGGCCAAUCAAACCGGGAGAUAGCUGGUUCUCCCCGAAAGCUAUUUAGGUAGCGCCUCGUGAAUUCAUCUCCGGGGGUAGAGCACUGUUUCGGCUAGGGGGCCAUCCCGGCUUACCAACCCGAUGCAAACUGCGAAUACCGGAGAAUGUUAUCACGGGAGACACACGGCGGGUGCUAACGUCCGUCGUGAAGAGGGAAACAACCCAGACCGCCAGCUAAGGUCCCAAAGUCAUGGUUAAGUGGGAAACGAUGUGGGAAGGCACAGACAGCCAGGAUGUUGGCUUAGAAGCAGCCAUCAUUUAAAGAAAGCGUAAUAGCUCACUGGUCGAGUCGGCCUGCGCGGAAGAUGUAACGGGGCUAAACCAUGCACCGAAGCUGCGGCAGCGAC
Molecule: ribosomal RNA, 1181 nt
Filed under: Salmonella enterica subsp. enterica serovar Bareilly str. CFSAN000232
Lineage: Bacteria; Pseudomonadati; Pseudomonadota; Gammaproteobacteria; Enterobacterales; Enterobacteriaceae
Description: bacterial LSU rRNA
Rfam family: Bacterial large subunit ribosomal RNA
Source: RNAcentral